AGCGUAGACGGCAAGGCAAGUCUGAUGUGAAAACCCAGGGCUUAACCCUGGGACUGCAUUGGAAACUGUCUGGCUCGGGUGCCGGAGAGGUAAGCGGAAUUCCUAGUGUAGCGGUGAAAUGCGUAGAUAUUAGGAAGAACACCAGUGGCGAAGGCGGCUUACUGGACGGUAACUGACGUUGAGGCUCGAAAGCGUGGGGAGCAAACAG
RNAcentral lists this ribosomal RNA (208 nucleotides) under uncultured bacterium. RNAcentral's name for it is "partial 16S ribosomal RNA". It matches the Rfam family "Bacterial small subunit ribosomal RNA", at positions 568 to 775 of the family's 1533-position model. The record is from RNAcentral.